Molecule: ribosomal RNA, 326 nt
Filed under: uncultured eukaryote
Lineage: Eukaryota
Description: partial 18S ribosomal RNA
Rfam family: Eukaryotic small subunit ribosomal RNA
Source: RNAcentral
CCCUUAGAUGUUCUGGGCCGCACGCGCGCUACACUGAUGCAUUCAACGAGCCUAUCCUUGACCGACAGGUCCGGGUAAUCUUUGAAUCUGCAUCGUGACGGGGAUAGAUUAUUGCAAUUAUUAAUCUUCAACGAGGAAUUCCUAGUAAACGCAAGUCAUCAACUUGCAUUGAUUACGUCCCUGCCCUUUGUACACACCGCCCGUCGCUACUACCGAUUGAAUGAUUUAGUGAGUACCAGGGACCGAGCGCUUUGGUUGGGUUUCCUUCCCUAGCGCUUGGGAACUGUCGCAAACUUGACCAUUUAGAGGAAGUAAAAGUCGUAACA